Rosa rugosa (rugosa rose) is the source of this 2199-nucleotide long non-coding RNA. RefSeq lists it as uncharacterized. The transcript is spliced from 6 exons. Lineage: Eukaryota; Viridiplantae; Streptophyta; Magnoliopsida; Rosales; Rosaceae. The record is from RefSeq and is a predicted model, not a curated record.
UAGAUCUAGACGUCGUGUGGCCACACUCUCCUUCACAUCCUCCUCUUCUAUCUCUAUCUCUCUCUCUCUCUCUCUAGCUCUCUGCUCUUUUCGAUCUUCUCUUCGAUGGCCACCCCGACCUCAACCACCUCUCUUAAUUCCUCUGUUAAUCACUCUAUAACGAUAUGGUGGUGGUGGAAUCACUGGGACUGCUGACUGAGUCGACCAUAAUGCCAAGAAGCACCGCUCCGUCGCCGGCGUCGGAGCCUCUUCGAUCAUGGAGCUCAAACCCUAGCUUUACCAGUCUCAAGAAGAUUCCAAGAAGUCCAAAGACCUCGCAGACCCAGACGCUGAGUUCCACCGCGCUAAGUAGAAGAUCACCGCACACGAUGUCUUCUCUGCCGAGAACUCCGGCGUCGACGCCUGGGCCCACAGGUUCUACCACAACUUGAAUCUCGUGGGAAUACCGAAGUUGAUAGGCACCACUAAAUCUGGUGGAAAACAUAUUGAGUUUGUAAGCGAUGAUAGGUGGAAAGGGAUACACUGACUCUGCAACACUGAUCGUGAAUCUUCAACAGCCGUCAACGUUCUCUCCGUCGAUAAAAAUUUGAUGGUUUCUGAAGUAGUUUGCUGGUGGUUUUUGAAAUUCAAUGUUGAAUUGAUGUGUGUAUACAUAUAUGGAUUUAAUCGUGAUUAUAUAGAAUUGCAUUUUCUCUCUGCUUUCUGUUUUGUCAUGAAGAGAUUUAUAUUGUCAAUUGUAAAUCUAGGAUGGCCUUGGUCGAUUGGGUUUUCUAGAUAGCUAAGUUACAAGUUUGUUGUUUUUAUAAUUACAAAAUUUGACAAACUAAAUGGAAAAGGUAGAUAAUUCGGUUGUUUACUUGAUAUGUGCAUAAAGGGUAGAUAAUUUUGGAGCUUCUGGGAAUUGAAGGAGGAAGAACACAGUAUUUAAACAAAUUCAUAGAGGUAUGAACCUGUGUUUUUGUUUGCGUUUUACAACUGGGUAAUUGGUGCAUGAUAGCCAUCGUCUGGUUUUGUUAAAAGUUGAUGGUGGUGUGGUGAUGAGCAAUGAGGCUGUGGAGCUUGAGGCUCUCCUUGAGGGGCUCAAUACAGCUCUCACUCUGGACUUGAAAAAUGUCACAUUUUUCUGUGAUUGCUACAUGCUUUACCAAUAUGUGAGUUUUAGCAUCAAGUGUUGCUUUUUAUCAGUCUUGUGAUUUUGGUAUUUAAUUUCAUUCGACGUUAUUGGUUUGCUAGCUAAUUGUUUAUUUUGUUUAUUGUUCAGUGUUCACUGAUUCGCAUGUAAUUGUAUGUAGCUUUCAUGGUUCUUUAUAUUUUGGAAUCUUUGGAUGAUUUUGGUUUGGUUACUGGCGUGCUUUGUUUGCUGCAAUCUUUGGUUACUUAGACAUGGGAAAGCUUGUGUAUUUGGUAGGGUUUGGAAGUGGAUAUGAGAGGGUUUCUUAGUUGAACAGAGCUCUCAUUCUGUCUGGUUUUGUUAAAAGUUGGAGGUAGAGAGCUAGGUUGCUUUUGAUCGGUGGUGCACUUAUCAUUUGCCAUACCUCUACAGAAGCUACAUAGGUAUGACAAAUCAAAAUGGAGGUGGGCUGACAGCAUCAAGAACCAUCCUGAUAAGGGCGGAGAUCCAGAAAAAGUAUUCAUCUUUAUCUUUUUCCAUGAAUCCCUGAUUAGGGUUUUUCCAGAUUUGGGUAUUUAGUCCUAGACUCACCAAGGAUGGCAUUUUUGUCACAAAGGCUGGUCCUGCUGGAAUUCCAACCACAAAGAAGUAUUCUCUUGCAUAUAUCUAAUUCAACUUGCAUAUGUGGAAGAGGCUGGUGAUCUGUACAGGGGAGAAAUGGAGGAAUCAGAAAUGUAUAGAGUUUGAUAAUGGAAGAAUUAGAGGAGAAAUAUAACUAAUGCAUACACCCUUGACUAUCAGGUAUGGAGUGAGUGGAUGUUCUGCAUUAAAUUUUUUUUCCAAAGGGAAACAAGGAUGAUAAAGAGUAUGGCGGAGGCUGAGAUUUAGAAGAUUUUGUAAAUGUGAUCAAUGAGAAAUGUAGGACGAGCAGAGAUGCGAAAGGACAACUUACUUCCAAAGUUAGUACCAGUUUAACCAAUGAACAUGCCUCAUCAGUUUCUUUAUCAAUCAUUGGUGUAUAAUUGGUAGAAAAGUAUAUUUGAAUUUUGUUUCUUUAUAUGGAAUUUGAUGGUUUUUAGGUUUGAUUC